GGGGGCGUAGCUCACCUGGCAGAGCACCACCCUUUUAAGGUGGGUGUAGAAGGUUCGAGUCCUUCCGCCCUCA
This 73-nucleotide transfer RNA is filed under the name Candidatus Omnitrophota bacterium. RNAcentral describes it as "Candidatus Omnitrophica bacterium tRNA-Lys". It matches the Rfam family "tRNA". Rfam says of the family: Transfer RNA (tRNA) molecules are approximately 80 nucleotides in length. Their secondary structure includes four short double-helical elements and three loops (D, anti-codon, and T loops). The record is from RNAcentral. Lineage: Bacteria; Pseudomonadati; Candidatus Omnitrophota.